Molecule: long non-coding RNA, 246 nt
Filed under: Elaeis guineensis (African oil palm)
Lineage: Eukaryota; Viridiplantae; Streptophyta; Magnoliopsida; Arecales; Arecaceae
Description: long non-coding RNA (EGUI_LNC063209)
Source: RNAcentral
UGCUGCUAAUCAGGUAAGGAUUUGAUCCUUAAUCAUGUAGAUGAAUAGAAAAAUUUUUAAAUACAACCUAGGCCUUCCUAGGAGAAAUAGUUUCUUUCUUUUCAAAAAUAAAUGCCACCCACCUCAAUUUGGCGUGUGAAAUGGAGAGUCCUUAAAGAAGGCUCUUAACUAAUACGCAUUAUUUUUAUUUCUCAAAUAGAUAUCUUAUGAUUUAAUGUUAAUUUAAUGUGAAAUUUUUAUGGCAUG